AGAUUGAACGCUGGCGGAAUGCUUUACACAUGCAAGUCGAACGGCAGCACGGGACUCAGGCAACUGAGCCCUGGUGGCGAGUGGCGAACGGGUGAGUAACAUAUCGGAACGUACCCAGUCGUGGGGGAUAACUCUCCGAAAGGAGAGCUAAUACCGCAUACGUCCUGAGGAGAAAGCGGGGACUAAGGGUAACUGAGGGCCUCGCGCGAUUGGAGCGGCCGAUAUCGGA
This 229-nucleotide ribosomal RNA is filed under the name uncultured soil bacterium. Its description in RNAcentral is "partial 16S ribosomal RNA". It matches the Rfam family "Bacterial small subunit ribosomal RNA", at positions 26 to 240 of the family's 1533-position model. The record is from RNAcentral.